Molecule: RNase P RNA, 335 nt
Filed under: bovine gut metagenome
Description: Bacterial RNase P class B
Rfam family: Bacterial RNase P class B
About the family: Ribonuclease P (RNase P) is a ubiquitous endoribonuclease, found in archaea, bacteria and eukarya as well as chloroplasts and mitochondria. Its best characterised activity is the generation of mature 5'-ends of tRNAs by cleaving the 5'-leader elements of precursor-tRNAs. Cellular RNase Ps are ribonucleoproteins.
Source: RNAcentral
UGACAAACGCUGCAUACUUGUUAUGUAGAGGAAAGUCCAUGCUCACACAGUCUGUGAUGAUUGUAGUGUUCACGCUAAGGGAAAAAAUAACCUUAGGUAGUAGUAAUACUAACGGCUCUGAAAUAACCUAAGUUAAUUUGAUAUGGUUAGAUUAGGUAUAAAAGUGCCAUAGUGACGAUGUUCUUUAGAAAUAAAGAAAGUGGAACGUGGUAAACCCCGUGAGUGAGAAACCCAAAUUUUGGUAGGGGAACCUCGAUAGGGAACUGAACUGAUUCGAGGAUCUUAGGAUAGAUAAAUGUUUGUCACCACUUAGUGGUACAGAACAUGGCUUAUAA